RNAcentral lists this long non-coding RNA (419 nucleotides) under Elaeis guineensis (African oil palm). RNAcentral's name for it is "long non-coding RNA (EGUI_LNC032553)". The record is from RNAcentral. Lineage: Eukaryota; Viridiplantae; Streptophyta; Magnoliopsida; Arecales; Arecaceae.
ACAAGGGUGCUGCGAAGACACAGACCCUUUCUCUAGCGCCAAUCCUGUUGGUGCAAAAAUCCGCUUGCGCCGGAGAAGCUGGAGUCGGGGAAGUCGCGGUCGCCGCCGGGACCUGCAAGGGAAGUCUAAACCGGAGGUGGGGUUGCUCCGGCAAGACCCUCCGACGCUCAAGUCAGUUCUCUGCCUCAACAAGAAUGGAGUGCUCGAACGGAGAAUUUAGCAGAGUUUUUAGAUAAGGCAAAAGAGCUUAAAGAAUAACGUAUCUGAGUCCCCCCUUUUAUAGGCGGGGGAGGCAACGGACUGAUGGCGACGUUUGUAACCGCCUGGUAGUGGGCCGCCUACGGUCAGGGGAAUUGAUUGCGAAAGAUAAUGGAGCAGACACGUGGGCAUCACUUCGACUCGCCAUGUGGAAUCUGUUA